This 694-nucleotide ribosomal RNA is filed under the name Tephritis arsenii. Its description in RNAcentral is "partial large subunit ribosomal RNA". It matches the Rfam family "Eukaryotic large subunit ribosomal RNA", at positions 943 to 1588 of the family's 3401-position model. The record is from RNAcentral. Lineage: Eukaryota; Metazoa; Arthropoda; Insecta; Diptera; Tephritidae.
UCUAGUAGCUGGUUCCCUCCGAAGUUUCCCUCAGGAUAGCUGGUGCAUUAUAAUAUUAUGUUAAAUAAUCUUAUCUGGUAAAGCGAAUGAUUAGAGGCCUUAGGGUCGAAACGACUUUAACCUAUUCUCAAACUUUAAAUGGGUAAGAACCUCACCUUUCUUGAUAUGAAGGUUGAGGUUAUGAUAUAAUGUGCCCAGUGGGCCACUUUUGGUAAGCAGAACUGGCGCUGUGGGAUGAACCAAACGUAAUGUUACGGUGCCUAAAUUAACAACUCAUGCAGAUACCAUGAAAGGCGUUGGUUGCUUAAAACAGCAGGACGGUGGACAUGGAAGUCGUAAUCCGCUAAGGAGUGUGUAACAACUCACCUGCCGAAGCAACUAGCCCUUAAAAUGGAUGGCGCUUAAGUUGUAUACCUAUACAUUACCGCUAAAGUAGAUGAUUUAUAAUACAAUUUCGAUUGAAUUAUAAAUUUUGAAACUUUAGUGAGUAGGAGGGUACAAUGGUGUGCUUAGAAGUGUUUGGCGUAAGCCUGCAUGGAGCCGCUAUUGGUACAGAUCUUGGUGGUAGUAGCAAAUAAUCGAAUGAGACCUUGGAGGACUGAAGUGGAGAAGGGUUUCGUGUGAACAGUGGUUGAUCACGAGUUAGUCGGUCCUAAGUUCAAGGCGAAAGCCGAAAAUUUUCAAGUUUUAAUGC